RNAcentral lists this ribosomal RNA (253 nucleotides) under uncultured bacterium. RNAcentral describes it as "partial 16S ribosomal RNA". It matches the Rfam family "Bacterial small subunit ribosomal RNA", at positions 524 to 776 of the family's 1533-position model. The record is from RNAcentral.
UACAGAGGGGGCAAGCGUUGUUCGGAAUUACUGGGCGUAAAGGGCGCGUAGGCGGCCCGCUAAGUCGAACGUGAAAUCCCUGGGCUCAACCCAGGAACUGCGUCCGAUACUGGCAGGCUUGAAUCCGGGAGAGGGAUGCGGAAUUCCAGGUGUAGCGGUGAAAUGCGUAGAUAUCUGGAGGAACACCGGUGGCGAAGGCGGCAUCCUGGACCGGUAUUGACGCUGAGGCGCGAAAGCCAGGGGAGCACACGGG